CCCAUUGGCCAUCGGUGUUCGUCAGACUUUCAGACAGCCUUCAUCAUCUUUCGACUUCCGUCUUCCACUAAAAAAUAGAGAUCGACAGCAAUGAUUAGGUAGAGAGAUCCCUCAUCAUCUUCCAUCUUUCGAUUUUUCUCCAUCACCGACUCCAAGAUUCCAUCUUCCCCCAUAUUCCAAUUUUUAUUUUUCAUUUUUUCAAAGAUAGGAUGAGGUUCUUGGAUUCUCAUGUGGUGUUUAUGUUUAGAACUUAUUGCUAAGUUUUAAAACUAUUGGUUGAAAAUAUCUAGGUUGAAAAGAUCAACAUUUUUUGUUAGGAUUUCUGGCAGAUUAUUUCGGUUCUUUGUUUCAUCUUCUAGUUUGCAUUCUAGUUCUGUUGUCAAGAAUAUGAUUUUUAUUUUUGCUUUUUCUUUCCGUUAGAGUAUUAAACCUCAUUUAAUGGCUCUGCUAUUGGAAAUAAAUUACUAGAUUGUCUCAACAGAUCAGGAUUAUUGUUGUUUGGGUUUUGGAUAGAAUUUUUGGAUUUUGGCAAGAAUUGUAGGUGCAUUCAUAUCAUUUCUAAUAUGGCUUAAUAACUUGCGGUUUCAUAUUUUUAAUAAGCAUGAUAUAAUCAGUGAAGGCCAUCUGACAAACAGAUACUAGAGGAUGAACUUCUGUGGUAUAAUCAUGAUUAUGAAAAAAAUGGAGGACCCUCACUCUUGCCUAAGGAAAGAUUGCAAUACUUUGUGCUUUAUCGAUUUCAUUUUCAUCUAUUAUGUGCCAUGUGCUGUUGCAUAACUCUUUAUUUGUCAAGACCUUUGCAUAAUUGCAUUGAUGCAUAGGGCAUUGUUAAAAUGAAAAAUGCUUAGUAUUUGUGAAUUUGCAUGAUUGUAGAAGUUAUUUAACUCUAAGAACUAUUUUACCCAUAAAUUUUUAUUUUUUCCUUGAAAUUCUCAUUAUGUUUCAUCUAAUCUUUUAAGUUUUUGACUAAUAUCAGACGACAUAAAUUUUAAAUCCUCUUUUAGCCAUGUGCUGCUAUAGUGCUAUUAAGUAUUGGUUGAUCGGUGCAUAAUGCUUUUGCUAUUGGAUUUUCUAUUCUAAUAGUUUUUGAUUUAUGCUGUAAUCUGAUAUUAAGUAGUUCUUUUGAGUAAUUUAUAAUAUUAUUUGUGUAGAUUGUUUUACUAAUGUCUGAAUCUAAAAUGGGUGAAAAUGAGAUUGUGGAACAUAUAAGGAAUGAAGGUGACAAAAAUAAAGAUAAUUUUAAAAUUGAUUACGACAAAAGUUCUAAGAAAAGAUCUUGGGUAUGGACUCAUUUUAUUGAAGAAAAAAAAAAUCUGAUGGAUCAAUAGCUAUAUAUAAAUAUUGUAAAAAGAUAUUAAGUAGUAGUACGAAAGGAGGAACAAGUCAUCUUAAAUGGCAUCUUAAAAAUAUUUACAAGAAAUAUCAAAAGAAUUCAGUUAAUCAAAUGUUGAUAGUAGCAAGUUCAAAAGAGAUCUGAUGAAGUCUUUUAAAUUCAAUCAAAAAGAAAGUAAAAAAUUACUUACAAAAUUUAUCAUAUGUGUCGAGCUUCCAUUUUGUAUUAUUGAGCAUUCUAUUUGUUUAGAUUUUAUUAGAUCUGUUAAGUCUUUGUUUAAUAUUAUUGGUCGUAAGAUAGUAAGAAAUGACUGUAUAGCUUUAUACCAAGUAGAAAGAAAAAAAUUGCUUGAUGCAUUUAAGAAAUUAAGUUUUUGGGUUAGUUUCACUACUGAUAUUUGGAUAUAAAAUCAAAAAAUUGAUUAUAUUUCUCUCAUGACACAUUAUAUUAAUUCUGACUUUAUUCUGCAUAAGAAGAUAAUUAGUUUUAAGAAACUACCAUACCCUCAUACAAGUUUUACAAUUGAAGAUGCUAUUAGAAAGUACCUUCUUGAAUAGGAAUUAGAUUCUAAAAUAUGUGCUAUCACUUUAGAUAAUUGCUCCACAAAUGAUGCUGUAAUUAGAAAGAUUCAAGAUCAUUUUUCUUACGGAAUGUUAUUUAAUGGGGAGUAUAGUCAUAUUAGAUGCUGUGCACAUAUAUUAAACAUUAUAGUUCAGGAUGGGAUGAAAAUAAUUCAUGAGGCUAUUGAAUGUAUAAGAGAGAUUAUUAGAUAUCUAUCUGCAUCCCCAUCUCGAAUGUAAGGAUUUAAUAAAAUUGUACAACAUAUGAGACUUCCUGUUAAAAAAGGGCUCAAUUUGGAUGUUGCUACAAGAUGAAAUUCUACUUAUGAAAUGUUGACUGAUACAAUUACUUAUAAAGAUAUUUUUAUUAGACAUUCAACUGAGCAUUCAUGUGUAUGCCCUAGCAACGAUGAAUCGAAAUAAGUUGAUGUAAUUCUUAAAUUUUUAGAAGGCUUUUUAGAUGCCACUAAAAUAUUUUUUGAUUACAAGUAUCCCACAUCUAAUUUUUACAUAAAAGAAGUUUGGAGAAUUAGGGCUUUAUUGAUGAAUGGGAGUAUUGAUACCAAUAAUAAUUAUGAUAUACUAAAGCAGUUGGCAAAUGAGAUACAAAAGAAGUUCAACAAACAUUAGUCUCAUUGCUAAAUUAAUUGAAUGCAGAAGUAUAUAGCUGCUUCUUUCUUUUUCUCUUUUUUUCCUCAAAUAAUUGAUGUGUGAUAAGUGUCAGACGAGAUGGGCACUAAUGAUCUCAUUGCUAAAUUAGCUCAGGAAACAGAUUUUUCUUUGGACACUAAUGAGGCUAUUCCAUAUGAAUUGGCUAUUAUUUUGCAGGAAGAUCGUAGUAGGAAAACUAGGAAAAGAAGACUAGAGUAACAAGGAGAUCUACAUACAGAUUUUGUUUAAACUGCCACCUACUUGGGAUUCUCCAUUUUGGAUGAUUUCUGAAGUCUUAAGGUAGAAACUAUUGGGAUAUUUAUGUACACAGAUUCUGCUGGUAUUAGCAUUCUGUUUGAAUAUAGUUUUUUGCUGAUUGGCUUAUGUAUUCAUGUAGGGUAUGUGGGUUAAUGUCCUGGGUAAUGUUCUUAACCAUUGUAAUCGCAUCUUUGAACUCUGUUUCUGAACUUCUAUCUUUGAACAGGGAGCUUUUGGUUCCAGGUUCUACCAAAAAAAAAAAAAGCAAAAGCAUAAAAUUGCUAAGUUCUUUUUCUUUUUGUUACAUGGACAUGUAUCAUUUGGAGUCUUAUUUUGAGGAAAAAUAUCUUCACAGAUGUCAUAAGGGUCAUAACUUUGAGAUCUAAAUAAGAAAUAAAGUAAUGUUUUUCCUCAACUUACUUUUUUUUUUUUUUUAGAUCAAAAUCAAUUCCCAUCAAGCUUUUGUUAUCCCAUUCUACAUCCAUAACAAUGUACAGGGUUGGUCUUCCUUAUCAACAGAUAAUGUAUAGGAUUUUUGCUGGUGUCGAUCUUACUUGCUCUACAAGCCUGGUGGAAUCGAAGCUUAUUCCUUUAUCCAUUACAAUUUCUACAUCCCCUUUUAUUCACUGUUUUACACCUUCCUCAUUAUCCGCACAUCUGCAUAUAUGGUUUUAUUUAUAGCAGGUCAACUCCAAGAUGGUUAUUCAAUGACCCAUAUACAGGCUCAAAUCAUGCAACGGCACAACUGGGAGGAGCUUUGUUCAAUUGAUCAUAAAGCUGGAUUACUGUAAUACAUGUGUUAGCAUGUGGAAACAGGUGCAGAAAGGAGAUAAGAAUAAUCAGCUUAUUUGCCAAAUCAAAGGACUGCUGUUUCAUUUCAAGGAUCUUCUUCACAACAAGGUGUCAAACACAUAUUUUCAGCUUCAAAUAUUACUGAUACGGCUAUGUGCCUGUGUCUUCAAACCGUCUAUCCUAACCUGAGCAAUAUCUGAAUUCAGCUGCUGAUGAAUUCCAAUUUGUAUUUCAUGGCUGAUCAUUGUUACUAUUUGGUUGUCUUAUCCCAGAAUGUUGACAUCUUUCCCCUAGCAGUUUUAUUUGAGAUUUCUUGAUGCUCUACAUCAAUACUAGUUCAGGAGGCAAUGCUGUUAUCCUUUUUAUAGUGUCAUUUUGGCUUAGUUGUGUAAUAUCUAUUGUACAUUUCAAACUCUUGUAUACUUUGCUGUUUAAUAUUUAAGUGAAAAC
Molecule: long non-coding RNA, 4044 nt
Filed under: Elaeis guineensis (African oil palm)
Lineage: Eukaryota; Viridiplantae; Streptophyta; Magnoliopsida; Arecales; Arecaceae
Description: long non-coding RNA (EGUI_LNC044405)
Source: RNAcentral